CCUACGGGAGGCAGCAGUGAGGAAUAUUGGUCAAUGGACGAGAGUCUGAACCAGCCAAGUAGCGUGAAGGAUGACUGCCCUAUGGGUUGUAAACUUCUUUUAUAUGGGAAUAAAAUGUUCCACGUGUGGGAUUUUGUAUGUACCAUAUGAAUAAGGAUCGGCUAACUCCGUGCCAGCAGCCGCGGUAAUACGGAGGAACCGAGCGUUAUCCGGAUUUAUUGGGUUUAAAGGGAGCGUAGGUGGAUUGGUAAGUCAGUUGUGAAAGUUUGCGGCUCAACCGUGAAAUUGCAGUUGAAACUGGCGGUCUUGAGUACAGUAGAGGUGGGCGGAAUUCGUGGUGUAGCGGUGAAAUGCGUAGAUAUCACGAAGAACUCCGAUUGCGAAGGCAGCUCACUGGACUGCAACUGACACUGAGGCUCGAAAGUGUGGGUAUCAAACAGGAUUAGAUACCCGUGUAGUC
RNAcentral lists this ribosomal RNA (460 nucleotides) under uncultured bacterium. Its description in RNAcentral is "partial 16S ribosomal RNA". It matches the Rfam family "Bacterial small subunit ribosomal RNA", at positions 338 to 795 of the family's 1533-position model. The record is from RNAcentral.